UGCAGCCCCAGCCCGGCCGGACCGCGGAGGCCAGGCGCCCGGCUCAGCGCUGCCCCUACUCCCGGCGCCGCGCUCCGCUCCCGGCCACCUAACGGCCCGUGGCCGGCAGGCGUCCACGAGUUUGCCCCGGAGCGCGGGGAAGUUUUCUGCCCGAGCUCCGCUCCUGCAAAAGCAGUACCUGCCGGCGCCGGGCGGCUCCCCUGGACUCCCCGCGAGGUAACCGCGCGGGGGCUGGGGGCUGGGGGACCCGAGGGCCAAGGCUGCAGGGCGCCGCCUCGCACCCGCGGUGGAGCGGGCUCUGGGUGGGCGGGAAGUGCAUCCGCACCUUUGCAGGUACUUCACCGCCGCGGGAUGAAGGAGGCAUGUCAUCUUUCCUUUCUCUCCCCGCGCCAAUGUCUCAACCCACUUGCACCCACUUUAUUAGCUGGGUAGGGGUGGUGGUGGCGGGAGAUGAAGUGGGGUCCGAAGACUUGGAGAGGGGCUGAUGGGGGAGGAACUUGUUAGCCACCUGUUCUGGAGUCCUGGGUCCCGGUGGGGCACCCUAAUCUCCAGGACUCUUGCUGCUAGCCCCCACGUGGGGCUUGUAGAGGUUCCAAAGGGGACGUCAAUUAAGCACUGUCUUGAGUUUCCGAUGCCGGUUGACCGGGUCUUCCAGAGUGUUUGGCAGAAAGUGGAGCAUCUCCGCGGUGGUGUCUCCUUUGCGUCAAUCCCAAACUCAGCGCGACCUUGCUGAUGCUGCGGGCGAGGUGGGAGGGAAGUUGAGAGGACACGGAGCUCAGGUUCCAUCGUGGCCUCAGCAGAGGGGUUGAAAGGGGCGCUAUGAGGUGGGCUCCUGGAGCGGAGCGGGUCAAAGAGAGAGAGAGAGAGGAUGAAUUGCUUGGUGGUUUUGUCACUUGCUGCUGCUGUUACUUUCUCACGGUUACCCGCUCCCUUCUGCCCCGUUUGAACAUCCUGUCUAUCAGCAUGUUUCUGUUGGAAGGCUAAAAGGUGUUACGUUUGAUGCCUGUCAGGAGUUAUUUCCAACUAAGUUCACAGGUGCUAAGUCUAGAGCUGCCGCCCCUCUUCCCUCCCCUCCCCGCAGGUCCGCCCCCGACUCCCUCCCACAUGCAAACUGUGCCUGAAUAAUUCCCAGGAUUUUGGAAGGAAUGGCAUGUAAAUAAUAUGGAGUGUGUUUGUGUGACUCCCCCGCCCCAUUGUGCUAUCAGAUCCAAAUCAAGACAUUGCGGAUGUCUAACAGGACUCCUUUUAGGCAGGUUCCCCCCCCCCUUUAGAAUAUGGUUAACAAAUGCUUAUUUUUCUUCUCUUUCACUCCAAACUUUAAUCUAUCUCUAUGCAUUUUUUUUCCUUUUCUAUUACUAUACCUCUUGGUUUAAAAGACGUGGACUUUUGGACUCACACAAAUGCACCAAAAUAUACUGUGACCAUAUUUAAUAUUUAUCUGUCUCCCUGAUUGAGUGGCCUGCCACCUGCCAAUUCCAGUACAUAAUUGUAACACCAUAUGCCAGUCUACCAAAUUGAGGAUACGAAAAAUGUUAUUGUUUUCUGUGGGCAAAAGUAGCCUGACUACCAAAUUUUAUUAUUGCUGAAAGUGUUUUUAAGAGCUUCAGUCAAAGUGAAUCAGAUUAACAAUAAAAUUGGAAUUCUAUCUGAUACAUUCAAACAAAAUAAAGUACCUGGGCACUGAUAAUUGACUGGUAAUUGAGGGAGAAUUAAAAUCUUCUCAUCACAUGGAAAACAUUUUGAGUGAAUACUAAAUAAGAAAUAGCACACAUUGAAUGCCUUGAGAAAACAAGGAUUUUCUUAUUUCAUGUAGUUUUUAUUUCCUUUGUUAUAGUAACGUCCUCCAGAAAAUGAGCACCUUGCAUAUAGAUGUUGGUAUGUACUAACUAAACACCAUAUUUUGUAAUACAGAGGCUUGGUGACAGUCCAAAUGCAUAAAUGUUUUAAAUCAUUACCAACCAUCUGUUCUCUCCCACUCACUUAAAGUGCAAUAUUUUAUUUUCACAGGUAUCACUACAUACAUACUCAUUUCAUACAUUUCCAUGAACAUCCUGAAGCCUCACCUGGUGGUAUGUGAUGUUGAUCUGAGUUUGGCAAGUGUUGUGUUUAGCAUAUAAGCUCCUCUUAUAAGCCUUUCUUCUUUUAUUUUCAACCAAAGAAGAAAUCAAAAAAGUUUUAGAGCAUUUAUGCCGAGGCUGAAAUAUACUCCAGAGAAAUCUGCUCACCAACCACUACCUUUUGGUUAGCAAGAGAAGCUGAAAAUUAGUGCAGAUCUAGGCUCCUCCUCAUGACAUUCUUUCCCUUCCUCCAUGGUCACAAGCAUAGCAUUUGAUGUUCUAAAGCAGUGGAUUAAAACCCUUAACUUCAGAAAGUUAGUGCACUUUCCACAUGAGCAUAACACCUUCCAGGGAAAAAUUUUACAAAAUGAGAAACGAACUUAAUGUUCCAGUCUACAUAUUAAUAUACCUAAGAAAUACAAAUUAUUCCCCACACUCCUAUUUGCACGUAUGGAUAGCAUGGGAUAUUAUAUAUAUGGAUGAAAUGUUUAUCUAGAAAGUAUUCUUUAUGUCUGUGUUUGUGAGUCUGGAUGAGUUAGUAUGUAAUAAGCCACUGUUCAUGUCAUCAUUAAAGAGACCUUUGAGGUUUUGGGUGCCCCCCCAACCAAGAAUAAUUCCCCAUUCGGUGCUGUUUGUUAUAACUAGUACUGCAAUGUUAGGGUGUUUUAUAGCCUCAAAUUAAUUUGCAUAAUAAAUGUGUGUUGUUUGUUCAGUGCAGCCAGAACCUUAGGACUAAUCUUUUAACUCAACUCUGGGCACAGUGUCCCAAAGUUAAUGGUGAGCUUGCUAAUACUUUGCAAAUAACUGAUAUGUACUUGAGGAACAUUAAAAACCUAGGACAACACAGGACUUUGCAAUACACUGUUUCUGCCUUGAAAAUAUAAACAUUAUCUAACUUAGAACCAGUAUAACAUUAAAAAGAAUGAAUCCAAACUAUAGAUAAUGUUGAAAGUAAAGUUGCCUUUAAAACUAUGGUCUAAUUUAAACCUUUGGUUCUUAGAUAAAAAUAUGCUACAUCUUAUUUUUCUGUAUACUAAAAAUGAAUUAGUAAGGGGAAACAGUUUCACCGUAUGUAGCAAGCACUCUAAAUUAUUCAUGUUAAUGAAAGAAAUAGAGGCAAAGAUAAUCUAAAAUCAUGGUUAUUUAAAAAGUCAUUUGUGUUUGUCUUUGGAAUGUAUUACAUGUUUGAUUUGAAAAAAGAUUUUCAUCGUUAUUGUGGGCAAAUUGCCUUUCUAAUUAUUUUGUUUUGUUUAGGUUAAUUUUUAAAUGAGCUAACAUACCUCAAACACCAAAACUCAUUUCUGAGGAGGUGGGGCAGAUGGGCAACUUGCCCAGAAAAAUUAGCUGGGUUGCAGGAAAAAGAAAACCUGGUAGGAAGACCUUCAAGUAGAUAUAUAGAAUUCACAGAAAGAUAAUCAGGAGUUUAUUGUGUAUCUAUUUAAUGGAUGUGUGUGAAGAAUUACACAGGUUUCUUGAAAAUAUAAAGGUUCUUUUUUUAGUCAAAAUUUGAGAACUUCAAUCCCACUUCCCAUGUAGCAGAGGUUAUCAACAUUUUAAGAAAUUGUUUUAAAACCAAAUAGGAACAUACUAAUUUUCAUAUAAAUUUUUAUACUUAUUUUGAUAUGAAAUAUUUGAAAACCAAAAGGAACAUACUAAUUUAAACAUCUUACUACAGAGUUUUGGAGGUUUUUUCCUGAAGCAUACAUCUGUGUAUGGUGUUAAGUGACAUCCCUAAGCCUUAUCAUGCACUUUCUAAAAGCAGCAGCAGUAAGAAGCCAUCUGAAUAAGGGGUUUGGUCCAUUUGAUCUCUGUACCUGUGCUUCAAAUCAAAAACACAUUUCAUCAAAGGGAAGCUCUCAAGCAUCUAUUGUUACCGUGGACCUGGUUAGAUAAAAUAGUUGAAAUUCAGCAAGACUGUCAAUUUAACAGAUUUCUAUUGUGUUUUUCAAAAGCUCUAGGGCAAAAUUGGUUGUGGAUGAAAUAGUUACUUGAACAAGAAGCUGAUUCACACCACAGCAGUUGCAGUUAAACACCUUAUUUGUAAUCAGCAUUUAGCAGUAUAUGGAUUGUGGUGACUUGUUGGUUCCAUGGUCUCAGAAUUUGGGAAACUUUUGUGUUGAAGGUUAGACCUGCCAAAAUAUAUCAUUGGAAAAACAGUUAAGAUCAUUUUUUAUUUCAAGCAUCAUAUCCAAACUCUAACUUUCAUAGAAUUAAAGAGAAUGGUAAUAGAAAAGCAGAUGGAUCCCUCAGAAUGAAGACUGUUCUCAUUAUCAGUGUUCUUACUGCUUAAAGGGUAAGGAUACCUUUUUUUUCUUUUCAGGGAACAUUUUCAUUUUUUAUAAGGCAUGACAUUUUUAUAGAUUGGACGGGACUGAAUAUUUUAAAACAAGUACUGUGAUUGGAAACAUAAAAUUUGAGACCCACAGGUUAUAUUUUAUAGACCUUUAUUAAGGGAAUUGGUUUCUUCUGAUCACUACCUCAGUAUUAGAAUCAAAAUUAAGCUUUUUUUUUUUUUUGUUACAGAGCUAAGAAGGACCUUAAAAGUAAUUUAUUCCAAUGAGCUGUUUUACAGUUAAGGAAACAAUGAGGGCCCACAGUGAUCAUGAUGAACUGCUAAAGGUCACACUGGUAGUUAGAGGCACAAACUAGAAAUUUCAUGAACUCACUCUGACCCAGCUACCCUGUAGUAAAUUGAGUAGUCAGAUAUGGAGUUAACCCUUGCUGGCCAUCACAGUAUCAACUAGUACACAGUAGUCAUGAUGUACAGUGGUACAGAGGUAAUUGCAGAUGGCUGAGGUUUGCUGUCUUCUGUCAUACACUGAAUAGUCACUGGGAUAUGGACUGUGGUCCUCAACCCUCAGAAGUUCUGUCUUGUUGUUGUUGUUGUUAUUAUUAUUAUUAUUAUUAUUAUUAUUAUUAUUAUUAUUUGAUACCAGGGAUUGAACUCAGGGACACUCAACCACUGAGCCACAUCCCCAGUCCCCUUUUUUUUGUAUUUUAUUAGAGACAGGGUCUCACUGAGUUGCUUAGUGCCUCACUGUUGCUGAGGCUGGCUUUAAACUCACAAUCUUCCUGCCUCAGCCUCCUGAGUGUCUGGGAUUACAGGCGUGCACCACUGCACCAGCUUUUCCUCUGUUUUAAUAACAAAUAUUUUGUGCUGCCUUCUUUAAUUUCUUCAAAUGUAAUUCAUAAUUAGAAUAAUUGCUGAAUAUAGCUGUAAUUAAAAGGAACAAUAAAGUUAAAGUAAUUUGUAAUAAUAUGAAUUUCUCUGUACUGUUUGGGGUGACUUCAUUAGAACACAAAAUACAGAGCUUAUAUAUAUGUAUAUGUGCAUAUAUGUAUGUGUUUAUAUGUUUAUGUGUGUGUGUGUGUAAACACUAAAUUUGAAUUUAAAACAAAUAAAAACAUCAGAAAACGUCCAUGCAAUAAGUUCAGGAAAAUGAAGGAAUGAAGAUAAACUAAAGGUGGGUUAGGAAAAUUAGAAACCAGAUUUCUUUGUAUAUGAUAACUGUAAGGAGAACAUAAUGGUAACUGUCUAGGGAAAAUUUGCCAAGUCAAAUCCUAAACUGUAAGAGUAGAGAAAGCACAGAAGUAUAUUUUGCCAGUAAGAGAGUGGAUAUUAUUAAUAUACUUCCACCAAAAUUCCAAAAUGACUUCAUGGGGAAUUUCCAUGUUUUACAUAUUAAUGUGUGUUCGACUUCAAGGAACUCGACAGUUUACCUGCCAUAUCAUAAAUAAUAAACAAAAUAUUUCUGAGAUGAAAUUAUUGACUUGUGCUGUUAUUUUCUUGUUUAUUUUCUAUUAAUAUAACAGUCUAUCAAUUCUCGAGUUAAGAGAUGGAAUAUACAAAAUGAUUCAAUAAUUCAUCAGAGCAACCUUAUUAUAAAUUGCUGGACUUUGGGUGGAAGUUCUUACAAAUCUUUAAUUAUGAUUGUGUACCAGAUUCUACAGGUUGAUACUCCCAACAACUUUAGUUCAUUGGGAUGUGUGAUAUUAUAUGAAAUAUUUGGAAAGAUCCAUCAUUAAGUGUCCCCCACCAAAAGCCAGAGUAAACCCCCCCCACACCUGCCUCCAGUAAUUUUAAUAACUCUUGAGUGGAUACAACCCUUCCUGAACUAUUCCCAAGGGAUGAUGAGCCAUCAAGCUAAAGAAACAAGAUUUUUAUGUAGGUGGAGAUUAUCUUUCUUGCCACUACUCAUCUGUCCACAUUUCCUUUAAGUGGGGUCAACCCCUUUGCCCACUGGUCUCCUGCCUCAAUGGAAAACCACAGACUAAAGUCUGCCCUCAAACUCAAGAUCAUGCUCUGAGCUUUUUCUGUCAUUGUCACCUUUGUAAAAACUCACUUCUUCUGGUCCUUAUUUCCCUUAGGAAUCUAUCUUUUGUGGGUAAAUAUGAGUGUUGACAAACUAAUGUACAAGCAAAUUAAUAUUUCAGUUCUUCCAGGCCUUAAUCUUGCUUCAAUAUGGAGCUCCAGAAAUUGAAACUUUUAUAUAUAUAAAAUAAGCGAGGGUAGUACUGAAGUUCUACAGUAAAAGGUGUCUCUAUGGCUAGAAUGUGGUAUACACACACAAACACACACACAAACACACAUACACACAUACACACACACACACGCCAUUACAUACAAAGUUAGAGAAUGCAUUCAUAAUUCACACAUAUAUGCAUGUUUAUGUAUUAUGUAUGUAUUACAUAUGUUCAUCAUUUUAGGCACAGAAAAAUACAGGAAAGGUGUUAUUAAAAGUUUGUAUUUUUAAUGCCCUCAAACAUGCUUAUGCAAACAGGAACUGCAGUAGUUCAAUAUUGGAAGUUACACAUAAUAUGUCGUCCUGUGAAAUGUGUUUAUAGCAGAGGCUAAAAUCUAUUACCAACUCAAACUGUUGAAUUAGCAUUCUAUUAUAUCAUUUGAAAUAAAUGUGCCUGUGCUGGCAUAUUGGAGUCAGGGGUAUAGUGAAUUUUGUUGUCUGUCUUAGAGGUAUUUAAUCUGUGUACUGUUUACAUGCUAAAGGCAUUCCAACACAUAUUCUCUGCAAAAUAUAUAGUAUUUGUAGAGAAAUGAAUGGGCGUGAACAUACUUUAUAUACAAAGAUAUGAAAAAUUGUGCUCUAUAUGUGUAAUAAGAAAUGCAAUGCAUUCUGCUGUUGUGUAUUUAAAAUAAUAAAAUCAAUAAAAAUUGAAAAAAUUAAAAAUAAAUAAAUAAAAGAGACCAGAAUGCUCAGAGAGAGAGAGAGAAAUUAGAGAGCUCGGAAGAUAACCUGUAUAUACCACAUAGAGGAGUGAAUAGAAUCUCAGAAGCAAGGAGAAGCCUGAAAGUUAAACCUGAAUUUUCUUUCAGUGUUCUAUCAGACCAUGGUGCAAGACCUGCUCUUGAGAAUGAAGAGGUAAAGUGAAACACCAUUUUAGUAUUUGCUUUAGCAAAUAUCUUGAACUUACCAAACUGUAGAAUUUUUUUUAAAAAAUGAGAUUAUUUUCCCACUCAGACUCAGUUUUAUGUGUCUUUUAGAACAUUGUACAUCUUAUUCUUUCUAAAGAAGAAAGAAGCUUUUUUGUUGUCAACCUGAGAUUGAAGUCGUAGUAUGGCUGCAGUGUGUAUGUGAAUAAACAAUUGCUUUGACACCGACCCUGGAUUCUGGACAUAGAAAGGCCACAUUUCACCCAAAUCAGGAGAAGCAAAGCAGCUUUUCCUGCAAAGGAGAUGCAGCAAUUGUAUAGAGCACAAUUUGCUCUAUGAUUGUUUUGCCGUCUGUGGUUCAUCCUUCCUAGAAGCUUUUUGGUCAAUUGAAUGGCCCAACAUUCAACCUCAGGCUGACCCCUAACUUUAUUCCUUUUACUUUUGUUACAAUUUCUAAUACGAGUGUAGCUGUAGCGGUGCAAAGGGAAUUGAGAGAAGAUGAAAUUGAGGUUGUUGGAUUGUGGAGGUGAUAAGGAGAAUAAGGAGCUGCUUUCAUUUGAGCACCACAGAGAUCUAUAGAGGCAAUGAAAUUUUACUAGACUAUCUGCCGUUUCUUGUUCUGCUUUUUAUUCAUGUAUGGAAUAGAGGCAAAGAUUAUGAAAGCAAAAGCCCUCCUUCCUCUUUGUACUGUUAACUGUGAUACAUGAGAAAACCUUGUUUGUCAGAAUAAACAUGUAUGGCAAAUUCUGGCCACAGAGACUCCUUUUACUGCAAAACUUUGGUACUACAUUCACCUGAAAUCAAAACUCUAAAAAAUCAAGAUAACAAAAAGAAAAAUACACCAACCAGUUCAGGUGACAAUAAAAAUUUCUGAAGUUUCUAUUGGUUCUGUAUAAAGAUGGGAACAACUCUGUUGAUGCAAACAAAGAAUAUAAUAUUUUCCCAUCAGUUUCAGAAGAAAGAAGCCCCAAAUUCCACUUAGUUUUGUAGUCAUUUCUAUUGUGCUCUCUCGCUCUCUCUCUUUUUUAAUCACACAGGGAAUUAAAGCUGUGACAGCCUACUUUAAGUAAAUAUUGUCUGUGAGGAUUAAGGCAAAGACUAUCGUAUUGAUUAUGUGCUUAAAAAUAAAUUUCAAAAUUAAAAUACAGGCAAUAUUUGUUAGAAACAUCAUUAAGUAUUUUUUCCCACAGAAUUCUGUGAACAGGAAGUUAAAAGGAAAAUAAUUUAUUUCUCCUCAAAAAAUCAAUUUCUCAAUUAUUAAAAAAUGCUAAGGUGCUAGUGAAAUUUUGGGACUAAAAAACAAUAUGUACCAAUACCUGUUUAUCUUCUAACAUUGGCACUUUGUUAUCAAUCAGAACUUUUUUUUUCAGAGAGUAAGUUUCCUUUGCUCUGACAGGGCUAGCAUUCAGUUGUAUGCACUGCUACUAUCUUUCUGGUUAUUUGUAGUGGGAGUGUAAAUUGUACUAAUGGUUAAAUAGUUUAAAUUCUACUCCUGUACUACCAGGAAUACUUUUGUAACUUGAGCCUAUGGAUAUAUACAUGCCCUAACGAAGUCUGUCUUUCUUUUUUUCAGACUUUACUUAUCAGGGAAUUAUAACUGUGUAGAAUAGAAAUGAAUUUUCAAAUCACUCAAUUCCCAAAUACCAAGAUUUUCUAACCACACCGACAUCAAGUGCUACCUGUUACCGAAAGCUCAGUCCUUUUCCCUGGUGCCAAUUCAUGCCAAUUUAAUAACAAGGAAACAGUUUUGAGAAAAAGAAAAAAGGAGAAGAACAGGGGACUCCAAUCCCAGAGGCUGUGGUUCUGCCCAUAAGGGAGAAGAGAGGUGUUUUAAAGAAGCUCUUCAAAGGCUCCAUUUCAGGUGUCCCCUGAUGGUGUGUUGAAAUACACUUGUUAAUUUGGGAGAUAGUCACUUCCCAGAUCUUCUGGUGACAUCUCUUCCUGUGGUAAGUGUUUGUUCAAGGAGAGAUAACUUGGCCUCUGAUGGGAAAAGGUAAUGUUGUUCCCCACCCCUAGGUUAUGGAGGGGGAGAGGGAGAAGAGGAAGAGAAAACAACUGGUCCCUUUUAAACUAAGCAGCAAGGGCUAUCUCCAAAAGGCAGAGUGAACCACUGUUACAUACCCAGUAAGAACUGCUUGAAAUUUAAUGUAGAACAUUCCAAAAAAUUAAUUACAGCUCAGAAAAGCCCUCUAAAUUCCCAUUUAGGUAUUUGCUAUCUCUUCUUGUCUGUCUUAAUCAAACAUCAAGGGAACUGUGUCUAAAUCCAACUUGGAACCUCUGCCCAAGGUACUCUAAGCCUCCAGGUUUCCCAGAGCCCAAUCUAAGUUUGAUUCUUGACAGUCCCUUUCCUUCAACCCCAAAGGUCUUCCACAAGUCCUUCACUUGUGUCUCCAAAGUACAGGACCCACAUGCUUCUGCCAUCGCCCAAGUCUACAUUUUCAGCUUCCUUUGGGUAGGUAACUGCAGGGGCUCCUUAACUCAUUUGGCAUUGCUUCCCCUCCACAUCCACAUCCACCCUCCAGAAGAAUGCCAGAGGAGCCUUGUCACAAUGCACAUAUAAUCCUUAUGACCCCUCUGACUGCACACACCACUUGCUCUGUUCAAGGCAGUGUCUAAAACUAGGAACCUGGUUCUUGUGCAAAGCCCAGAGAGGUCAGCCUUUCCCAGUCUCAUCUCCUUGCUGCUCCCCUUCUCCCUCUGCCUCGGAAGCCUGGCUGACUUCCAUUUGCUCUACCUACCAGGCUCUCUCCCAUCCUCACAGACUCAGACCACCAUACCCAGACACUGCCUGAUUCAUUCUUUGUUAACACUUUUAAAAUAACUAAAAUGUCAAUUCCCCACAUGUGCCAUCUCUUCUCUACUAGACUGAUUCAAAUGUUCUUAUAAUCUACAUACACAUACAUAUAUAUUUGCAUGCAUAGAAAUUUGUACAUAUUUAUGUAUCCAUAUCCUUCAUUAUAGUUAGAAAAGUUGUAAAAUCACAUUUAUUUGUGUAAUUAUUUAAUUAACCACUUAGGGACCUAUCUAAUUUUGAUGGUCCUUGUAUUCCUAGCAAAUGCCCAAAUGCCUGAUUCAAGGACAGAGUGGAAUAGCUCUUCAAUAAAUGUUGGAUGGACUUGUUUUUCUUUAUCUCUCUACAUGCAUACAUAUAUACUGCACAAAUUCAUAUUCUAAUGAAAAAUAAAUAAUGAAUGCCAGCUAUAAGCCUCACUUUUUUCUUCGUGACCUCCCCAAAUAUCAUGCUCCUCUUCUCUCUUUUCUCUCAACAGUGCAGAGGUGACUUAAAUAAUACUACAUUUACUUAGAAAAUGAGGCUGGUCUGUUUAUUACUCUCCUCCAAAACAAAUUCCUAGGCAUGCAUUUUUACUAUUUCCUAUAGCACGUGAAAUUUUUGAUAAUUUCUGGAGUUUUAAAAAGGUUUUACUUUGAAGGGGGUUUAUGCUGUUCUGUGUGUACACAUUUCAGCAUGAAGCAGUGGUUUAAGCUGUGCCCAUGUUGGAGAAAAGAGAAAAACAAAUCAUCUGACUUACUAUUCACAUGGCUCCCAUAUGAAGAUAAAGGAGAUUAAGGAGAACAAAAAUUAAAAUAAGAAUAAAUAUGUGAAGUUGAAAGAAUAAUGUAAAAGUAUAUUAUAAUUUAAAGAUUCACAUGUUUAAGAAUUACACAAAGCCUUCACGCUAGGAUGGAAAUUGUUAAGGAAGAGAUUGGAUGCUUACUAUGUUUUAUGAGCUAUGCUAAUAUUUGUGCCUACAUUCAAAUUGCUGCACUAACAUUGAGCUGGGUUGGCUUCCUUCUAAUUGAAGACUUUCCUGCUUGAACUAUUUUAGGGGACCCUGAUAAUUCUAGAAUACCUGGUGCCAGAAAUCAAGGAAUUGCUCAAAAACUGACGGGGACAUAUCAGAGGGACAUAAGAUUCAGGUUUAAGGGACUCCUGCUGGCCAAAUUUGAGAUCUUGUGAACAUAAAAAGUAAUGACAUAUGUAACGGAUUAGAGCACAUUAAAUAAGAAAAAAAUCCACCUGCUAGUGGUGUGUAUAUGAGCAGAUAGAGUAGAUAGGAGGAAAGCUCUGCUUCACUGAGGCUUACAAGCUGAUAAGUGGAAGAAACGAUGGAAUGAUAAUACUAUGUUUGCAACCACCGAUUGCAAGAAUAAUCAAAAGAUGUUCCAAUAUUGGGUGAAUGGUUGCUGGGGAAAGGAUAGUCACACAAAUCAUUUUUUUAAUUAUAAGGGGGAAAAAUACCUUUAUAAGAAGCCAAGACACCAAAUAAAACAAAUGAUCAGACUUGACAUCACAAAUCUGAAAUCAUGUGCCUUUGGUAUGGUACAUGGAAAAGGAUGCACUUGCUUCUUCAAUAUUCUGUCAAAAAAAGUUUAGAACCAAAUUACGAAAAAAUAAUCAGACAAAUUCAACUUGGUGAAUGUUCACCAAUACAACCAACCAGGACACUUCAGAAAUGUUAAUGUUAUUUUAAAAAUAAGAGUCUGGACAAUUGUGCAGGACUAAAGAAGACUUGGAGACCUGGCAACUAAUUGCAACACGUUCUUCUUGAUUGGAUUCUGGAUAAGAGGGAGUUACAAAGGAUAUUAGUAAUGGGACAACAGGAGAAGUGGUCUAUAGAGCAAUGGCGUGAUGUGAAUGUAAUAUUCAUGUUAAAUUUCCUUAAUGUGUGAUAAUCAUACUGGAGUUAUAUAGGAGAUUAUGUCUUUGGGAGAGGGUAUACUUAAAAGUAUUUAGGGAUGAAAUUUCAUGAGCACUGCAACUUACUUUCCCAUGCUUCAGCAAAAAUCUUUUUAAAGUGUGAGUGAUAAACAGAUAUGAUGAAUGUCAACAAUUGUUUAAUGUAGAUUCAGUUUGUACACUAUUCAUUAUAUUAUUGUGGAUCUUCUCUGUAUGCUAGACAAUUUUUUUAAAUAAAAAGUUGAAAAUAUUCUAUGAUUUUGAGCCAACUGUCCAAAUGAUGAGAUAAUUUUUAUAUAUUGAAACGAGCUGACAUGUUCAAAAGGUUUUUUUAACCAAUUAGUAUCCCCUAAACUAGCUAAAUAUCUUUCUUCAGCAUGCCAUAAUAAUUCUAUAGCUUAUAUUUAGACACUUAAGAAAAAGCUAUCUGUAAAAGUAUAUGUUGCAGGCAAUAUAGGGGUUAAAGCUUAAGAUGGUAGUAUUAAAAAUAUUAAAAUACUACUUUUUCUGUUUCUCAUAUAUAUGAAAACUUUUCAACAUGGGAAACCUUAAGGGGAAAUUAAGCAUCUAUGGGAAUAUAUCAUUUUCUUCUGCCAUAUUGUUCCUAAACAUUGGUGCUUGCCCACAAAAAAUAAGCCUAAAUUUACUGAUGACUACUACUAAAAUCUGUACAACCUAGCAGAAUGCAAUGUGCAUUGUAGACUAGAUCCCAGGAAGAUUUAAGAUGCAGCGGGAUUCUCAACUGCACAUUGUCAGGAAGUGCAGCAAGCACUGUGAGUACUUCUGUAUUAGAAAACCAUACUUAAGGUCCAACAGCAUACAUUUAUGAAUAUCAAAAAACAAACUUCCCCUUUAGUUAAAAAAUAGUUAUUGAGGAUCAGUUCUAUGUGAGGCACAAAGUAAAUGAGGUUGAGUAAAAAUUCUUACAAAAUUUAUAAAUAAAAAUUUAUUUCUUCAGAAAGAUUUAAAUUUAAAAAUAUUUAUUUAAAAUACACCUUCUACUAUUAAAACAUAUGAUGUCACAUUCCUACUCAGGUUCCUGCAGAAGUGCUUUGCCUUGUGCUAAGAUAAUGUUUAGGGCUCUACAGGGUAUGUAUUUUCACGUAACCACAGGAAGUGGAGAGGUAUUUUUUCAUAUAUGAUAUUAACAAAAGAACCUAUAGCCAGGUACAGUGGUGCAUGCCUGUAAUCCCAGAACUUGGAAGGCUGAGACAGGUGGAUUGCAAGUUGGAGGCCAGCCUCAGCAACUUUUUGAGGCUCUAAGCAACUUAGUGAGACCCUGUCACAAAAUUUUUAAAAAUUACAUAUAACAACAAAAAGGUUUGAAUUUCUGAAAAACCUGAAAAAAAUGGUGCCCCUUAUUAGGAGAAGGAUUGGAAUUUUUGAAAAAUCUGGAAAAAAAAUGGUCUCUUGAUACUGACAACCUAUACUGUCCAAAAUUUCACUAUAGUAGAUUCUCCUUGAAAAAAAAAAAUGCACACACACGCACGUAGUUCAUUUGUAGCUUGUAUUAACACAAAUAUCAGUAAUUUAUUUGAACUAGGUAUUGUUUUAAUAAGGGGAAAAUACUAAAAAUUGUUAUGGGGAAGGAGCUAUCAUUAGAAAGUUUUGAUCAUCUUCAAAUAAAUGUAAUAAUAGCUUUGCUCAGACACCAUCACCCUCUGCCACUCCCAGCCUCUCAUGUUUGUAUUAGUGGUGAAACAAAGGGUACCAGGAUACCCACAGUGCUACCGAGAGUUUUAAGACCUGAGAGAACUGGAUGGAAUUGAAUUUAGUGAUCUUAUUAAACUUUUAAUAUAUUUUUAUUUCAUAUUUUUUCAAAAAGUUCCAAGACCAUGAAUAACAAGUGAAAAGUUUGAAUUUAUAGCAAUAGGAAAGGCGGACUUCCAUACAAAAUUUGGCAUUAAAACAGAGCAGGUAUGCAAACAAUUUUUGUAGGUAAUUAUUGGCUGGAAGCUAUUUAUACUCUAAGUUUAUUGCAUAUACACAUAUGAUAAUAAGACUUUGCACAAAUGGAAACUUUUGAUCAUAAAUCCAUGUAAAAGAUUUUGCCUUGGGAGUAAUUCUGGAUGUUAUGAGUAUAUUUGAAUUCCCUUGCAAACAAUGCAGAUUUCUAGACCAAGUAAGUACCCAUUUUUCACUCAUGAUAUUUAAUAGGUCAUUGUACCUAAAGUCUUAGAAAGGACAAAUGUAGUUGUUCUAUCUGUACACGUAUUAAAACCUUGCAACUGCAGAAGAAAUUGCAAAGUAGAACUGUGAAUCUUGUCACCAGCAGUAACCUAGACUAUAGUCAGACUCAUAAUUAUCAGAAAUAAAUACCUAAUCUUUACCUGAGAAGUCCUCUUAUCAUUACAUAUUGGAGUCAUUGAUUAACUGGGGUCUUCGUGGUGUCUACUUAGUCACUUAGAAAAAGCAUUAGUAGAAUAAAAAGCAUUAGUAAAAUAAAAUCUAGCACAGCUGUGUUAAUGAAUCUAAUACAUUUAUAACACUUAAUGGAAUUGUACACUUCUCCCACCUAAGCCAGUUUCACUAUAUGUUAAUAAAAAUCAAACGUAGUAUCCUUCCAUUCCCCUUUCUUGUUUUAGAUUUUGGUUUUUAAUUUUUAUUAUUAUGUUGUAUUUCAUAUUUAGAUGAAAGCAGUUCUCAAAAAUCAGUCUUUUCAGGACUGUUUUCCUUUCUGCGUUAUUUUGGUUUAUGUUGGAGAGCUGAUUUCAUUAAUAAGAAGUUUAUCCUAGAAGAACUCAUUGUGGACUAUUCUUCCUGAUUUUCCGUGCCUAAUCCACAUCUCCCCUACCUCCACCCUUUCCCCUUGUCUCUGGUCCAUAAGCCUUUUUCUGAUAGUUUUCCAUUCUUGAAGGAGACCGACAAGGUGAAAUGGCAAAAGGUGGUGUACUGGGCUGUCUACAGGUCUGGUAUGGGUCUUGUCCAGAAUAUUCUGUCUCACCAAAAUCAUUUCAUUUGCCUUCACGUUGGAACAUUCAGAAGCUUGUAAGUCUGUGUUGUGAUUUGGUGGUCACAGCUCCAUCCCUUUUCUUCCAUAGUAGCUCCAGCAUGGAGACCGCUCCAUAGCUAAUAAAAGUGGUAAGUGACUGUGUUAUUUUCUUCAGCCCCAUGUCCCCAGCCAUUCUGAGUUUCAACAGGGAAACAUACACUUCCCACAUAGCCUAUUUAUGCCCCAGAUCUCACUGUUCCAACCUAAGUUUUUCUGGACAGACUUUUGAGACUAUAUUGUUCUUAUGAAAAUCUAUCCAGCUCCAGGUUUGAGAGUGGUUUUAUCAAUUCUUACCUUUCUCUUAUUUCCCUCCAGAUUUUAAAGAAUUUGGCAGGUAUUCUUUGCAGUUAUUAGUUAGUUCUUGUCCUUUUCUUAUUUGAUUAAAAAUGAAGUUCUUGGGCUGGGGCUGUAGCUCAGUGGAAGAGCACUUGCCUAGCAUGUGUGAGGCACUGGGUUUAAUUCUCAGCACAACAUACAAAUAAGUAAAAUAAAGGUCCAUCAUCAACUAAAAAAAAAAUGAAGUUCUUUUCCUAUUUUGUGUACUUACUAUUUUUUAUUAUAUUAUUUCAAAGAAAAAAAGUGAAGUUAAAAAGGCUUUACGUCACCAUUAGCAGAUAUUUCAGAGUUCUAGUCACUAAUUUAUUUGCAUUAAAUAUUGUAUUAAAUGCAGAAAUUACAUAAAUUGAUAAUUCUAAAAAUAAUAAAAAAUAAGCAGGGUGUGCCUGCUCUGAAUAUAAGGAGAAAUAACGUUUUCCAUGUCCUCAAGGUGUCCUGCUUUUGUCAGGGGAGAGUAACCACUGAGAUCGACACAGCAUCUCGACUGUUUCAUACAAUGAAGGUGUAUUUCCACUCAAGUCACAAUCUGAUGACGAUCAAUGGAAACAUUCUCUUCCAGGAAGAUUUCAGGGAUCCAUGUAACUUUCACUUAACAGUUCUGCAGUCUUUCUGUGCCUUGAAGUCUUCCACUGUUUCCUCUGCAGAUAAGAGAAUAGAAAGAUAAUGUGAAGAACUUGUAAGAUAUUUGUAGGGGCCAAGCCUCACCGUGGUAUGUAUGACUUUUAUUCAUAUUUCACCUUAUUGCAAAGGGACCAGAAAUAGUGGCCUGCAUUUGAGUUCAGGAGGAAGAGAAAGGGAGGAUUCAGGGAACAAUAUUGUCUGUACUACACCCUCUUCAGGCUGCUCUCAUUCUUACCUGCAAGAAGUAGCCAACUUACAUUUUAUGUUAAGGAUUCACUUGUUUUGCAUAUGUGCACAAAACCCAAACAAAAUCUUGUUUAAUUUUUUUCUGCCUUUGACCUUUAAUAAGAAGAGACUCAUACUGUUCACAUAUGUGACUUCUUUUUGUUUAGAUUUUUAUUGUUUGAAAAUAAUAGAUGUUUUCUAGAAAUUGGAAAUAAUAUAUAGAAUGUGUCCAUUACAUAAGGUUUUAAAAUUUAUUUUUCAACUAAUUUAUUCUUGCUGAUUUGGACUGAAUGUUCUAUCAAUUACUGAAGGAGAGAGAUUUAAAAAUAUGCCAAUUUAGGAGAAGUAUCCAUUUAGUGAUGGAUUUAUCCAUAUUCUUUGAUUUUUCUGUCAUUUUCGCCUUAUGUUUUUUUAAGCAUGCUAUUAUGUGCAUACAAAUGUAGGACUGUGAUAUAGUUCUAGUGAAUUUUAUAUUUUAUUGAAGUGUAGUCACUCUAUCUGUGUAUAGCAUUGAAUUUUAACAUCUGUUUUGUCUGACUGUGGUAUAGCUACCAUAUUUCACCACAUAAUUUUUGCAGAUUUUAUGCUAAUUUUUUUGUAAGAAAGAGGGGUGUGACCAUUAUGUGAAGCUUUUUAUAAAAAAUACACUGAUAUUGCUUAAAAAUUAAUUUGUUACUAAGCUGUCUUCAAUACAAGAAUUGGAUGCAUGGAAUACUUGUGAGAAUAUGUUAAAAUUGCAUAGUCCAAAUCAAUGCAUAAAAUUUUCUUGUGAAAGUUUAGCAAACAUUUUUCUGAUCUAAAAAGGAAAGUUAACACAUUAGUAGUUAUUCACUUAUGCAUAAUAGUCAAAUUAUUGCAUUUGAAAAAAUUUACUACAGUGUUGGAAAGUAUUGACUUGUAACAUCUAAUCUUCUAUGUUGGAAGAUUCACCACUGCUAUUGUUUUGUUGUCUGAUGCACCACCCCCAGGACCAUUCACAUAGGAUGAGUUUACCCUUAGUACUGCAGCCUCUGGACAGACCUUGCAAGUUGGCUUUUGGAAAUACACGGACGGUACAUGUGUGCAGAGAAUCCUAGGCUCAUGGCUCACAGUGUGUUGAGAGGACAAAUGAGCAUCCAGAUGCCACUGAUGUAUACGUUGUUGCUCUGUUACUUUUGAAGUGACAUGAGGAACAGAAUUAUACCAAGUGACAAUUAUUAAGGUUAUAAAUGGAUCUGGAGGCUGAAAAGGGGUGUGAUAAUUAUGCAGUGGCAAUGAUUAUACAGUGAAGUAGGGUACACCAACUUGCCAGUGAUUUGUAAUUCCUUGGUUAAUAUUAAUACAUUCUCUGUUUACUUUGAAAUCUGUCUUCAUGGUUUAAGAUUGUCUCUUAUACAUUAUAUCUGGUUGGAUUUUGAAAAAAAAUCCAUUCUAAUAUUUAUUUAUUUAUUAACUAAAGAGUUUUUGCCUUUUCACUUUUAUUGUGAUUACAAAUCUAUUUGAGCUCAUUUCUGCUCUCAUUUUUUAUUCCUACUCUACUUUUCCAAUAACUCUUAUUUUUUAUUUCUUUUCUUUUACAGAACUUUUCAUACGCCUUCCUCCCAAAUAAUAAAUACUGGAAUGCUUUCAUUUUGAUCACUCCUCUCCUGACUUUUAGGCUAUUGCUUUCUUCACAUGAAUUAGAGUCUAUUGUUUUUAUAAAUAGUAAAUAUUUUAGAUUUCUCUAAGUGCUUACCAUUUUCUUUGCUCAGCACCCCUUCAGUCUGCCCUUUCAUUUUAAUUCUUGAAAGACAGAUUUUGCCAGGUCUGUGAAUCUGUAGGAAUAGUCACUGCAUUUUAGCAUCUUGCACCUAAGUUCACCUAAGUUUUUUUUUCCUUUCCUACAAAAGUAGAAAUAUUCUUCCUAAAGCUAGAAGUGUCUUGCUCUUCUGUUUGCUCAAGGUUCUAAGUCCUUAUCACAGACUCAAGCAAACUCUUUUUUUUUAAAUUUAUGUAUAACAGCAGAAUGCCUUACAAUUCUUGUUACACAUAUUGAGCACAAUGUUUCAUAUCUCUGGUUGUAUACACAGUAUAUUCACACCAAUUUGUGUCUUCAUACCUGUACUUUGGAUAAUAAUGAUCAUCACAUUUCACCAUCAUUAAUAACCCCAUGCUCCCUCCUUUCCCUCCAACCCCUCUGCCCUAUUUAGAGUUCGUCUAAUCUUUGCAUGCUCCCUCUCCCUACCCCACUAUGAAUCAGCCACCUUAUAUCAAAGAAAACAUUCAACAUUUGGUUUUUUGGGAUUGGCUAACUUCACUUAGCAUUAUCUUCUUGUAAUUCUAAAUGCCAUGAUUUUAUUCUCUUUCAUUGCUGAGUAAUAUUCCAUUGUGUAUAUAUGCCACUCACUCUUCAUCAUUGUCUAACUAUCCUAUUGAAAUGUUCAAACAACACAUCAACCAGUUUUACCUUCCAAAAAAUCUCUGCCAAUCCUUUGUCCUACUCCUGUUCCUGUUUGAUAUAUUUGCUGCCCCCACUCCCUGCAAGCCUGUUUGCAGUGGCCGGUCAUCCUGGCCAUCCUGGCCAUUCCUGGCCAGGAAUAAGAAGUCAUCUCUUCUUAUUCCUGUUUUGGACCUACUGGUUUUUGUACCCCGAUUUCUUCCUCUGGUCUUCCUCCCUUGCUUUAUUAGGUCCUCCUAUGGGUUUGGGGGAGGUAAAUUUUUUCAAGAAUUUGUCUGAAAAUGUUUGUUCUACAUAAACCCUUGAUUGAGACUUCAGUAGAAUUUGGUAGCUUAUAAUAGAAUUUUAAGUAAAAAUCAUUUUUCUGGAGGAUCUUGAAAACAUUCUUGCUCCAUUCCUUGUUCUAAAUUUCAGUGUUGCUAAUUGACAAGUCGGAACAAUUCUGGUCCUUGAUCUUCUGGAUGGAAUCUACUUGUUUCUCUCUGACACAAAACACAAUCUUUUCUUUAUCCUUAGUGUUCUGAAAUGUCAAGAUGAUGCAUGUUUCUUUCUUAUCCAUUAUGAUAAGUCCUUUGGUGAUCUCUUUGAGUCUGAAAACUCAUACCCUUCAGUUCCCCCAAGUUUUCUUGAGUUAUAUCACUCAUGAUCAUCCUCAUUUUGAUUUCUCAGUUCUCACCAUCUAGAGUUCUCAUUAUUUAGAUGCUGACUUUCUUAGAUUAGUCCUAUUUCCUGGAUUUAUUUAUUUAUUUUUUCCUGUCCAGUUUUUCAAUUCUUUGUUCUUUAGUACUGUUUCCUGAAAAAUCACUUUAAUUUAUCUCUUCUAAAUAUAAUGAGUUUUUCAUUUGGUUUCAUUUUUCAUUUGUAAGAACUUUUAUUGCUCUCUGGUUUCUUUCCUUUCUAUUAACUAUAGGGUCCUGGGGAAUGUGUGGCACAUUUCCUGGGUUUUAUGGCACACAGUUAUCUUGCUUCUUGUUAUCUAUGGAAACACUUUGACUUUAGCUUUUAUGAUCUUUUAAGUUAGUUAUCACUCCUCUGUGUUCCACAUUCUAAAACUUUAUGAUUCUCUCUUUAUCUCAUAAUCAUCUUCUCCCUCCUUCUCUACGUCUUUGCCAUUAUAUUUCUCAUCUAUUUUAGGGGGACUUGAGCAAGGAUCAGUACUGAGUCCAGUCGACCCCCAUUUAACUAGAAAUCCUCUACAUCAAUCAGCUAACAAAUGAAUUAAAAUUGGCCAGUAUAUUAAUAGCUUUAAAACAUGAAUAGUUACUUAUAAAUUUUAUAGUAUCCUUGAGACUUCUGAAUACUUUUCUAUAUAUUUUAUUAUAUUUCUCACUUUCUGGAAUAUUAAUUUUCAGAGUUAUAUAUAAUUCUGUUUUGAUUUGUAGGCAUGAUUCUAGGCUUAUCUCUAUAUGUUUAUAUUAUUUCUAUAACUACCUUAGGGAGUUUCUUUGAAAUUUUAACCUGAGCCCUGUGUUUUUGUGAUGUAUCCUUGGAAUAUGCCUCAAGAGUUUAUUAGAUGAUUUUUGUCACAUAUAUUUGCAGCUUUAUUUUUCUUCUUAAAAUCAAGAUUCCUAGUUUAGCACCUUUACUGCUUGAGUUCAUGCUGUUUUGCUAUUAAAUGGUUGCAGGCUAGCCACAUAUGGGCUAAAAUGUGAAACAAGGAGUAUAUAGUAAAACUCAAUAAAUAUGCAUAUGUGAUUGCUUGAAGCUAGUGAUGAUGCUUGGCUCACAAACUUCACUAUCUAUAAGAAACAAAUCAUAUUCAUUUUAGAAUAUGCAUACACCUGUACUGUUUUUACAGAGUUUUAUGUUAGCCAUAGAAUUUUACUAUUGUGGUGAAAGCUGUAUUAUUCUUUUUAUAAAAGAAAUUAUACAAUAACAACACAUCAGACAUCUAGAUAAUAUAUAAUGAAGAAAAAAAUCAAUCUCCCAAAUAGGUGUAUUGAUUUUCUAGCUAAUCAUCAACAGAAAUAACUACCUAACAUAUCUAGCAUUAGGAAGUUGUAUUCUACAUAAAUACAAUACCACUUCAAGGAUUUUAUUGUUCCUAUAAUGAGCAGAUGGGGGAAUUUGAUGCUAUAUAUAGGUGAUAACAUAAAACACUUCUUACCUAGAUAAAUAAGAACAAGUAGCCAUAGGAGUUAUGUAUGUUUUAUUGACUCACUAUAAAAAUAUUUAUUUGAACUUAUAUGUAGACAAGUUGUUGACUAUGGAGCUAUGCCAAACUCUUUCCCUAAAUUAUCUAUGUCAGGAAUUUGUUGCAUAGAUGUAGUCUUAGCUAUUUGACAUUAAGUAAAUGCAGAGAUGGCUAUUUUCACCAUAAAAAUUGACAUUCCAAAGCCAGUUUGACCCACUCUGCUUUAUAUUGCAGCUAACAUUCUAAUUUGAAUCACUGUUUGUAUAAGAAGCAAGUGGGAGAGAUCAAAAUGACUUUCUGGCAUCUCAUUGCCAGUAGCUUUUAAAUGCUACUGGGUUUUGUUUACUUGUUUUCUCAGAUUUUUCAAAAGUUGAAAUAUUGCUGUGAAACUUAAAAUUCUGUGUCUGUCUCUCUUUCUGUCCUGUAUUGUCCUCCUUUUGAAAGAGCUUGCUUUCAGUCAUAAUGCCCCCACCAAAUUCACUAGAUUUUAUGAAGUAUACUUUCCCCCUGAAAGGUACUUUGUGUAAUCGACAUGAAAAAUUUAUGUCCUGUUUUAAUUGAAACAAAUGCAAAAUUUUAAGUUAUUAUUACAUAGUACCCACAGUACCCCAUUAUUAUUUAAAGUUCAGGGAGAUAUCUAUAUCUAUAUCUAUGUAUAUGUGUAUAUAUAUAUAUAUAUAUAUAUAUAUAUAUAUAUAUAUAUAUAUGAUAUAUAUAUAUGUCAUAUAUAUAUAUAUAUAUAUAGAGAGAGAGAGAGAGAGAGAGAGACUUAGCUAUAUACACACAUACACACACAAACACACACACACACACUAUCUUUCCCUUACUGCACACUACAGUAAACACACACAUUUUUCUUCUCAGUCUGACACUCAGACUAAUGGUAGUGCUAGAAAAUUCUUCAUCUUUCAGUUCCAUUCUUCCAAAUCUCUUUGGUCUUUUAAACUUUUUUUCUCAAUACAUUCUACAUUAACCAAGUCAUCUUCUCUGAUCUUGUAUUUUUCUUCUUGGUUUUUUAUUUUUGUCCAUGUUUGAUAGUAAACCCUCAUUCCUACUAUUCCUUAAAUCCAUCCCUUUUUCUUGUGUUCAUGUAUUUUAAAUGUCUGUUCAUUUAAUGGUCAAUGAUAAUCUUCUGUGUUGGUUUCUUAAUCACAGAUUCAUCAUGAUCUGCUUCCUAUUACACAGUCCUUUCCUUUUGAAUUUCUUUUAGAUCCUGAUGCUCUAUUACUUGGACUGAAGGAAACCCUGAGGCUGUAACCUGUACCCUGUUUUAUGCUCCCAUUUUCUCUGUGGAUGCGCUCGAGUAUAAGCAUCAUUUUUAUGGUGCCAAUUCUCAUAACACCAUUUGUCCAUUCAAUCAUGCCUGGAUUAUUGUAUCUACUUCUGAGCCCUGCAUUUAAAGAAAAGCAUUAACAAACUCAAAUAUGUCUGGAGAGGAUGAUUAAAUUGAUUGAAUGCUUCUAAACCAUGUCCCAUGAGGAAUGGCUGAAGGAAUUGUAUAUAUUUAUUGUUUAUCCUGAAGUAAAAAAGAUUGAGGGUAGACAGAAUAAUUGUUUUCAAUAAUUGGAAAGUCUGUCAUGUAAAGGAGGGAACAGAUUUGUUAUGCGUUGUUCUAGAAAGCUCCACUAGAACCAACUUAUGCAAAUUGUGAAAGGAGACAUUACAAUAUUCUCUAAUAAAGAUCAGGGAUUAAAGCCUAGUCCUUCGACUUUUCCUACCGUGACCAGCAAGGGCUUUAGUCAUACUGGGGCUUUGUGAAUACUGAUUGAUUGAACGGAGUGGACAUGAAAGAAUAAACCUCUCUAACAGUAAAAAUAGAAUGCUUUUUGAAGUAAAAAUAUUCAGUCUUUCAACAAAUCUUUAUUGAUUAUCUAUGGUACAGCUGUCUCUGUGCCUGAAAUCAGAGUAUUAAAAGAUUUGUAUCUUAAUAUUGUAGAGCACUUUUUUGGGUAAGGCAUUCUUCUAGAUAUUUCCACAUGUUAUUCCAUAGCACCCUCAUAUGAUAGGUACUUUAAUUUUCCCAGUUAGAUGUGAGAAAACUGAGGCACCUGGAAGUCAUAUAAUGAGCUGUUUCACAAGGCUGAGAAGUGACCAAGCUGUAACCUAAACCUGGACAGGCAGGCUCUAAGAUCUGUAUCCUUCACCACUGUGAUAAACUUCCUCCAAGAGGAUUGGGGAAUUGGAACAUGAUCCAGUCUGGUCCCUUCUCUGCAGAUUCCUUGCUGAAUGGCUAUCCUGACUGCCUCUGUGGUCUUCUUACCUUUUAGUCCAUCUGUACCCUAUGUCCACAUGCAAACCUGAUCAUUCCACUCCCCUGGACACUUCCAUUGGUUUCUCAUGUCCACAGGACAAAGCUAAUCUCCACAGGUUAGGUCCCUCUUCACCUAUACCUCUUUCUUCAUCUCUCCCUGAACCCUGAACCAAACCAUGCAGUUAAAUGAAUCUGUUAUGCAGAUUUCUUGUUUGGGGAGAAAACAGGGUAAAUGUGAGAAUUAAUCAAUAUAAAAUAUUUAAAACUGCUUUCAAUGCAUUGACUACUCAAAGAAACGUUAGCAUGUUUAUUUCCAUCUACUCCUGAUGAUCCUGUAAGAGUUGCUGUACACAAAGUACAGUUUAUUCCUUAGUUCUCCUGCUAUAUGGACAACUGCUUUGUAGUAGGACUGAGAAGUAAAGCAGAUUUGUUGGGUCACCUAAUUAAUUCAGAGGCAGAGUGGAUGCAGGAACAGUCCAGUCACAGUGUUUCCUCUGCAGACUUCUGUACUUUGCCUUCCUCUGGGCCGACUUCUCUUUCAGAUUGGCUUUCCAUCAGGGCAACUAAAAGGCGUCCAGCCAGCCACCACAAGAGCUACAUAUAGGCUUUGUUGCUCACAGUCACCACGGGAGAAAACAUUACUUCCUACAUAACCAUUCAGUGGAAGCUCUGAGCUUCAUUCUGGGUAAAUCACCUGCCAAACAGUCACUAUGACCAGGGAAACCCAGAGUCAGCUGUAGUAGUGGGUUUUGAGUGGUGAACCCUAGAAAAUAUGUUCAGAUCCUUAUCCCAGAAACUAUGACCUUAUUUGGAAAAAGGGUCUCUGCUAUUGAAAUUAGGUUAAAGAUCUUGAGAUGAGAUCACCAUGGAUUAUCUGGAUGGUCAGUUACUCCAAUAAAUAUCUUUGUAAGAGACAAAAGAGGACACACGAAGGAAAGGAAAAGGUAAUGUAAUGUCAGAGACAGAGACUGGAUCUAGGCAACCACAUGCCUAAAGUCACUAGAAGUCCACAAAGCGAGGAGGGAUUCUCUCCUUUCUUUUUCUAUUAAGGGGAGCAUGACCCUGAGUAUACCUUGACUUCAGACUUCUGGCCUCUAGAACUCUGAGAAAAUAAAUUGCCGUUGUCUUAAGCCACCAUAUUUGUGAUAAUUGGUUAUGGCACACACAGAAAAGUAAUUAAAUGGCCAUUCCUGGGUCAACUAUUUUGAUCAGGAGCAUCAGAUUUGCAGUCAGGAUUAUGCUAUUUCAGGCCUGUUCAUGGAUCUGAAGGUGGGGACAAGCCAUUCUAAACUAACUUCCACAGAAAGGCAGAAGGAUAUUGGAGAGGCAACACAAUAGUCACUUCAAUAUCCUCUAAUUCCAAUUUCUAUUUUACCCAUUUCUUUUGGGUAUCCCACAAUGGAUCCCAACCAUGGACUUUAAGCCAUAAGCAUUUCUUACAUUACACUAUUAUUUCUAACAAUCAUAUCAUUUGACUUGCUAUUCCUUUAGCCAGUCCAUAAUUGUCUCUUGCCUCAUCUGUCAUAUCCAUUACUGAUAACUCCUUCUAGUUGUCUUAGAUAUGACUACCCAAAUUGACAUGUUCUGGUAUCACAUGGUUAAAGCCUAGGAUUUUUUUAAAAAAUGGCUUAAGGGCUCCCUCUAUCUUCAUUGAUCCCUUUAGUAAAAUACAAUGGAUUCUGUUCAUACCUUGUGUGUUGCUUAAUGUUAUUCCAAUGAUUCUCAAUAUGGGUUUGUUAAUGGUAGUCCUGACGCUUCUUGACUGGCAUAAAUACAUGUUAAAAAUUCUUAUGAUUGCAUAUAAAUAAAUAUAAAAUACAGCACUCUUUAUGUUUCAUCCCUACUAAGCAUUUUGAAAUAUUUCAAACUUUAAAAUCUAACUUAGACUGGGGAACAAGUAAAGUCAAAAGAUGGGAUGAACAGUCCAUUUAGCAAUAAUCUCUGCAUUUUCCCCCUCUAAGACAACUAUUUGUAAUGGUCUUUGGUUUUAAUUUUAUGUAGUCUUUGAAAUAGGCUAUUGUUGCUUAAAAGAGAAACUUCUAUAUUGAAUACUAAAAUGUAAAAUAUAAGUUUAAAACUUUUUCUUCUAAAACAAAGAAUUUGAGGGCAAAGCCUUGUCUUGUUAAAAAUUUUAAUUAUAAUUGGAUCUUAAUUGCAAUGACUAAAAGCAGAAGGUACCUGUUAAAUAAAUUACACAGGGAAUCUAAGCAACAAGAUAUAUAAGAAAGCACCUACAAAUUAGUGUCUAGUAAAGAAAUAUAUUUCUGUGUCUGUAUGACAAAACACAUUGAACAGUUAAGUAAUUACAGGAGGGGACCAUGAAACACUAAACCUAAGAAACCAUUUGAAAAAAAUCAUCAUUAUUCCAUCCAUUCAUAGCAAUUUUAACCAUCUUCCUUCAAAAUGAUAUUUUGUAAUGGUAUUGCACUGUGUUAGUUUCUCUCUCUCUCUCUCUCUUUCUCUCUCUCUCUCUCUCUCUCUCUUUCCUAUUAAAGCAAAUAAUCACAGAUUUGGUGGUUUAAAAACAGCACAAAUUUACAGUUAAAUAGUUCUAUAGGUCAGAAGUAAGAUAUGAGUUACAAUCAAGUUUUAGCAGGGCCAGAUUCUUUCCUGAGGCUUUGAGUGGGAUCCAUUUCCUGUCUUUUCCAACUUCUAGGAACCCAGUUUUCUUUGACUCAUGGUUUCCUUCUCCCAUCUCCCAAAAUAACUAAGGUGAACAAGUCCUUUCUGUAGACUCCUCUUCUGUUUCCUUCUUCCAGUCUUUGGGACCCUUGGGCUGAGAUGGUGUCCACCAGAUAAUUCAGAAUAAUAAUUCGAUAUGUUCAGUUCAGCUGUCUGGCAGUUUCAUUCCAUCUGCAACCUCAAUUCUUCAUCACCAUUGACAGUGAUGUAUUUGUAGGCCUCAGUGAUUGAAAGGUGGACAUUUUGUGGUUGGGGGCAUUAUUUGGCCUUCCAUAUGUACCACUGUUAAAUUCCAGAUCUUGAUCAUUGUGGUAUGAAUAUAUAACAUGCAAUCACUGGAGGAAGCUGGAUACAGACAUUCAGGAGUUUACUAUUUUCAUGUCUACGUGAAUCUUAAAUUAUUUCAAAAUGAAAGUUUCUUUAAAAAAACUUUCUUGUGGGAGGAAUGGGGGAAACAUAUAGACAUGCUUGCAGAAUUUCAGGAAUUAUAGUGAUCAUGAUGCACUGCUAACGGUCACACUGGUAGAACAAAUAUUCUUAAAAAAAGUAGAAUGAAGAAAAUAAUAGAAGUGAGAGCACAAAUCAAUAAGCAGAGUACCAAAUAUAAUAGGGAAAUUAUGAUAUACUUUUACAUAAAACAGAAAAAGCUCUAGAAAAAGUCAAAAAAUAAGAGAAAAGGUGCAUAUAUCUACAUUAGGACUAUAAAUGGAACUAUACCUACAGCUGCAAAAGAGAUCUUUAGAAUCAGAAGAAAAUCCUAUGAACAACUUUGUGCCUAUAAAUUAGACAACUAAUGGGAAAUGAUAAUUAUUUAGACAAAUGUAAUUUUCCAAAGGUGAUUUUUAAAAGAAAGUAAGAUAUUGGAUCAGCAAAACCAAACAAUGUUCAAGUACACACACACACACACACACACAGAAUGUAAUCUAUAACAAAAUCAGCAUUGAAAAUCAGAAGUAAAAUAUUAGACUAUAAAAUAGAUUUGAGUGCAUGUUAGCUCUAUCAGAUGGAUACCUUACAAUGUACACAAAAGUAAAUUCCAGGUAGAUUCAAGUAUUUGAUAUGAAAAGCAGAACUUUCAAACUUUUGAAAGGAAACAUAGAAACAUAAUUUUAUGAUUUGAAAACAAGGAAAGUUAUCUUAAAAAAUCAUGAAGGACCCGGAUGUAGCUUGAUAUUUCCCAUUUUCUCUUCUGGGAGGGUCUCGGAAGGAACUAUAUCAAAGGGCUCCCUGAACCUCUGGCUUUUACUUGUACUUAACAAAUGGGAGUCGCUGACAGGUCUAAGGGCAGGAGGAAUUUGAGGAUGGGCUAGUUAUCCUUCCACUUGCUGUCUCCAGAUUCCAGAAAUAGCUUUCUGCUUUUCUUUCUUCCCUUCUAGAAGCAGGUGCUGUUACUUGUUUUGGGGUACUUGCUCUAUCUCUUGUUGGUCUCUCUAAACCCUGCCCACAUCUUUGUAAAUGUUCUGUUAUUAAACUCUCCAGAGUUUAAAUGUGACUAUAUCAUGUGCUUUCUUUCAAUACUCCAGCUGAUAAAUCGUAAAGAAUGAUAAAACAGAUUGAAAACUUUUGCAUGAUAAAACAACACCAGUGAAUGAAGGAAAAAGGGAACAGAUGGAAGAAAAAGUUACAAAGAGGGAGAUCUUUGUCACACUAAUAAAGACAAUGAAUUCGUAUCCAAAAUACAUAAAAACUACGCAUCUGUAAGUAGGGAAGACAUACAACAAGGAAAUUCAUAGAAGUUAAAACCAGAAUGGCAAAAGGCAACACAAAAUGAACAAACAAAGAGAAUUGCUAAUCUUCAAGCCCUACAGAACCUCUGGUCCUUGUUACAUCUUAUCCCUACCCCUGGGCAGCUGUGGUUCAGAAAUGAAUGGGAGAUGAGGUGCCUGAGUCCAUCAGGGUCAAUACCUGUCUAGAAGCUUGUCGGGGAGUGAAUGCAAGGGCUUGCUUGGGGAUUUCCAGAGGAAAGUGCCCCUGGGUAAAUACAUUAGUGAUUAGACCCCAGUGGGGGAGCUGGUGAUGGAGCUCCCUUUCACAGAAACCUGGGAAGGAUGGAGAGAGGGGAGAAGACUCUUGUUCUGCAGAGCCAUGUGUGCUUGGGGACAGAGGUAGUAAACUUGUCCAGGGAAGGCAGUGCAUUGAUGGACUUCAUCACUGAGAACCUUUAUUUGCUUGGGAUGGGUAGGAAAGAGAUGGAGAAUGUUGUAGCUACUAUGGGAGACAGAGAAGGCAUGCACUGCAGAGGUGCCCCCAAGGGUAAGGACUGGGAAGAGGGCCACGAAGCUGGAGUUUCUUGUAUGCCUAACUGCCUGCCUCAUUUGGUCUCAUCCCCAGCCUUCCCUGAAAUCCCACCACUCCCUCCCUAAAAUCCGAAACUUCUGCCAAACUCAGCAACUUCUAAUAUCCUUUUCUGUAAAUUGCCCCUAGCUAGUAAUUUAUCUCUAUACUGAAGUCCCAAAAUACCUCUGUUGAUAGCCAUGAUUAUUUAAAAGAAUAAAUUUUAAAGUGUUGGGAGAAAGAUAAUGGAGUGAAGCAAUUAUCUUUAUAUUUCUUUUCCUAAUUGUGAGGGAUAAAUCAAUAGGCUAUGCAAAUAAAACUAAAUAUGUAUUUUUAACAGAGAACUGUAGAUGCUAUAUUUCAGUAUUUUAAUAGUCUCUACUCCUCCAUUUGGAGUUUAGGACUACAGCUUUACAAAGACAACUAUAACAUUUACUCAUCAAUUACCUGAAUUCUGUUAUUGGAGCUCAAAAUUCAAUAUGCAAUGCAUGGUUAAGUACCUCUUAGGUUGUGUCCAUGAGUGGGAAGAAGAGGUUGCACAAAGUACAGGAAGCCUUUAGCCAUAGAAACACUAUAGAAUGUUUGGACAUAAAACAGCAUUAUUCCAAGUAAUUUCAAUCUCCAGUAGUCUGCACUUUUUCUGCAGGCUUGGAGGCAGAUGCAUGAUCUUCAAAUAGGUGUGUUUUCCCAUCACAACUGACCCUCAGGUUUGCUUAGAGCAAUACGGCUGCUUCCUCUGCCUCACCUUUGUUUAAUGAGAGCCAUUUCUUCACACCAAUGUUGGGUUAAUGGACUGAGAUGGGAGAAAAUCAAACGUAUCUCUGCGUUUUACACCAGAUUGCCUUUCUGCCUUGUGGCUUUAAUCAUUCAAUCCUACUCACAUCUGCCAUAAUCACAGUUAUGGCUUUUCCCCUGUCUGUCUUCUCACCCAGGAGGGUAUGUCAGGGUAUGGCAACAUCUCCGGAAGAAAGGCAGGGCAAAUCCUUAAUCUUUUUCCAGCAUCGUAGGUAAUAAUUUUCCUAUGCAAACCCCCAAGGAGUCUUUUUUUUUUUGGCUCUUACACCCACCAUUCUCAUAGGUUUGUGGCUCUGUGCUGAUUUAUGAGUUUUCUUCUAUCCUUUCUCUUCUGAGAUAAGUUUUAAUUAUGUAGACAGAUUGUAAAAGUCUCUUUCUUCUUGUAAACAACAAUUUCUUUGUUCGUAGUGGAUUUUGUCCAAAUGGCUUCCUCCUAUCUGAAUCUUCUUACAUACCCAGGAAUUAUGUCUGUUCAUGGUUUAACUGUGGGAUAAGGGUAGAGAGAACUGGCUUCUUUCCACAAUUUCCCUGGGGAUUCAAUCUUCAAUCCCUAGCACUGCAAAUCUCCCUUGGGACCUUUGUUGCAUAUGUCUUGAAAGACCAUCAUAUUUUAUUUUUGAUUCAAUACAAGAGCAAAGGAUCACUUAUCAAAUAAGCAGUAUGGUAAUGCUCUCACUUCUCCUUAUUUAAAAACCUCUUUUCUUACCAAAAUCAAAAUUCAAAAUACUUGAAAUCCUUAAAAGUACUAGUGAAGUCCUUAACAGUUACUCCUGCCCCAGGGACUCUAAGUGGAUUUGAAAACAUGCCUCAGAUACGUUGAUGACCAUACCUCUUUAUUGUGGCCCACAUAGUAGUUAAAAUAUAAAGAAAUUAUAGGAAAAAUAUUUUUAAAUGAGUAUUUGAGAUGUGACAUUUUUCUUGUUCUGCAUAAAUACUUUUAAAUGUCGGGUGAAUGUUUUUCCUAAUCAGAUCAUUCUAAUUACCUGAAUUUCGGUGAAUGUGCACAAAUGCACUGGCAUUUUAUGUGAGCUCAUGUGUGUUCAUAUUUUUCUAAAGGGAGCUGUUUGCAUUUUUUAUUAGAUCUCAAAAAUGGAUGUGACUUAAAAAAUAAAUGGUUAAGAUUACAUUGAAUGAAAUUGUUCUGAAACAAAAGCAUCUCACUAUUUUUAAAAAUCAAGUAAACUUUUAUUACUAAGGGAGAUUUCUGGAUUCUGAGAUAGAUUUCAGUAAUUCUAAGCUACUGUGGGAGGGGUCCUUGACCUCUGACUUUUAAAAUUGAUCCUUUUAUGCCUUUGGUGGUUUUUAAAUUCACCAUGUAAAUUUGAGAAAUUAUGCUACUUUUAUAUAAAAAGGAAAUGUUAGAUUAAACUCCCCAUUUUUGAUUUAUAUGAAGCCAACCCUUCUUAUUUGUGAAUUACACCAAAGUGGGAUGAAAAAUAUUUGGAAAGAAAAAAAACUGUGACUGUAAUGAACAUGUACAAACUUUUAAUUUUCAUCAUUAUUUCCUUAGCAAUACAAGUACAACAACUAUUCUUAUACUAUUAACAUUGCAUUAGGUAUAAUAAGUAAUCCAGAAAUGAUUUAAAGUAUACCAGAGAAUGUGCUUUAAGUUAUAUGCAAAUGCUAUGUCAUCUUCUAUAAGGGACUUGUGUAUCCUCAGAUGCUGGUAUCCACUUGCAUCUUGGAAGCAACCACCUUGAACAAUUAUAUUUUGUCUGAUAGGAAGUAUUUUCCUACAUUCCACAAACAUAUUUUUCAAGACCAGUCUUCAGCAAUCCAUUCAAUGCUAUUCUUCCUUUCUCUUGAAAUCAUCUUAACAUAACCCUAAAUGUAAUUUUACUUUUACAAUACAAAGAGCUUAAGUUUGGCCAAAGUUUGCCUAAUUUAUGUUAGGGUGUUAUUUAUUAACUGUAGGAUGAUACAUUACUUAGAUAAAAGAAUGCAAUAGUAAACUGCCCUUCAAAAGAGAUCUACUUUAUUCUAACCUGUCUUAAGAGCAUGACAUUGCAUGUAAGUCUUCAGUGUUAUCCAUAUGCUGCAAAUUUUUAUCAUAGUUGGAUAUAAAUGCCAUCAGUCACCUAAAACAUGGAUUUUGUUUUAAAUUCUAGGUUACUUCAUGGAAUGGGCCUUCAGAGGACCCCAAAAGAUUAAAGUUUUAUGGAAAAACAAAUCAUGCAAUCUUCAGAUUCAGACAUGAGGAGAAAGAUAGCCAUCUGAAGUGGUCAUGAACCCCAAGCAAGUCUUCCUCUCUGUGCUGAUAUUCGGAGUAGCAGGGCUGCUCCUCUUCAUGUAUUUGCAAGUCUGGAUCGAAGAGCAACAUACAGGUAACAUGUG
This 31184-nucleotide long non-coding RNA is filed under the name Marmota monax (woodchuck). The record is from RNAcentral. Lineage: Eukaryota; Metazoa; Chordata; Mammalia; Rodentia; Sciuridae.